AGCGUAGGCGGGCGCUUAAGUGGGAUGUUUAAAACCGAGGCCCAACCCCGGAGCGGCAUUCCAAACUGGGCGUCUUGAAUAGGGGAGAGGUCGAUGGAAUUGAAGGUGUAGCGGUGGAAUGCGUAGAGAUCUCCAAGAACACCGGUUGCGAAGGCGGUCGACUGGACCCAUAUUGACGCUGAGGCUCGAAAGCAUGGGGAGAAC
RNAcentral lists this ribosomal RNA (204 nucleotides) under uncultured bacterium. RNAcentral's name for it is "partial 16S ribosomal RNA". It matches the Rfam family "Bacterial small subunit ribosomal RNA", at positions 568 to 771 of the family's 1533-position model. The record is from RNAcentral.